This 327-nucleotide ribosomal RNA is filed under the name uncultured bacterium. RNAcentral's name for it is "bacterial SSU rRNA". It matches the Rfam family "Bacterial small subunit ribosomal RNA", at positions 28 to 334 of the family's 1533-position model. The record is from RNAcentral.
GACGAACGCUGGCGGCGCGCCUAACACAUGCAAGUCGAACGGAGCUUGCUUGUCAGAUCCUUUCGGGGUGACGACUUGUAAGCUUAGUGGCGAACGGGUGAGUAACACGUGAGUAACCUGCCCCAGAGUGGGGGACAACAGUUGGAAACGACUGCUAAUACCGCAUAAGCCCACGGAACCGCAUGGUUCUGGGGGAAAAGGAGCAAUCCGCUUUGAGAUGGCCUCGCGUCCGAUUAGCUAGUUGGUGAGGUAACGGCCCACCAAGGCAACGAUCGGUAGCCGGACUGAGAGGUUGAACGGCCACAUUGGGACUGAGACACGGCCCAG